GCCAGACUCCUACGGGAGGCAGCAGUGAGGAAUAUUGGUCAAUGGGCUUACGCCUGAACCAGCCAAGUCGCGUGAGGGAAGACUGCCCUAUGGGUUGUAAACCUCUUUUGUCAGGGAGCAACGCCGGCUACGUGUAGCCGGACUGAGAGUACCUGAAGAAAAAGCAUCGGCUAACUCCGUGCCAGCAGCCGCGGUAAUACGUAGGGGGCAAGCGUUAUCCGGAUUUACUGGGUGUAAAGGGAGCGUAGACGGCGAAGAAAGUCUGAAGUGAAAGCCCGCGGCUCAACCGCGGAAUGGCUUUGGAAACUUUUUUGCUGGAGUACCGGAGAGGUAAGCGGAAUUCCUAGUGUAGCGGUGAAAUGCGUAGAUAUUAGGAGGAACACCAGUGGCGAAGGCGGCUUACUGGACGGUAACUGACGUUGAGGCUCGAAAGCGUGGGGAGCAAACAGGAUUAGAUACCCGCGUA
RNAcentral lists this ribosomal RNA (466 nucleotides) under uncultured bacterium. Its description in RNAcentral is "bacterial SSU rRNA". It matches the Rfam family "Bacterial small subunit ribosomal RNA", at positions 330 to 792 of the family's 1533-position model. The record is from RNAcentral.